This 238-nucleotide long non-coding RNA is filed under the name Elaeis guineensis (African oil palm). Its description in RNAcentral is "long non-coding RNA (EGUI_LNC011154)". The record is from RNAcentral. Lineage: Eukaryota; Viridiplantae; Streptophyta; Magnoliopsida; Arecales; Arecaceae.
UGGGAUCAUUGCUUCCGUUCCGUAGGCCAAGUUGAAGGGAGAUUCUCUGGUUGGGACACGGGGCGUCGUUCGGUACGCCCACAGGACAGAGUUCAAUUCUUCGAUCUAUAGGCCUUUGGCUUCAUUCAAUCGGAUCUUUAGCCCAUGUAGAAUAGUCCGGUUGGUCACCUCGACCUCACCGUUGGACUGUGGAUGCCCAACCGAGAUCAGUCGGUGCAUGAUAUGAAACCUCGCACAG